RNAcentral lists this ribosomal RNA (253 nucleotides) under uncultured bacterium. RNAcentral's name for it is "partial 16S ribosomal RNA". It matches the Rfam family "Bacterial small subunit ribosomal RNA", at positions 524 to 776 of the family's 1533-position model. The record is from RNAcentral.
CACGGAGGGUGCAAGCGUUGUCCGGAUUCACUGGGCGUAAAGGGAGCGCAGGCGGGUUAUCAAGUUGGGGGUGAAAGCCCGGGGCUCAACCUCGGAAUUGCCUUCAAAACUGAUAACCUGGAGUAUGGAAGAGGUAAGUGGAACUCCGAGUGUAGAGGUGAAAUUCGUAGAUAUUCGGAAGAACACCAGUGGCGAAGGCGACUUACUGGUCCAUUACUGACGCUGAGGCUCGAAAGCGUGGGGAGCAAACAGG